GCCGGGCAUGGUGGUGCAUGCCUGUAGUCCCAGCUACUCAGGAGGCCGAGGCAGGAGAAUCGCUUGAACCCAGGAGACGGAGGUCCCAGUGAGCCAAGAUCGCACCACUGCACUCUAGCCUGGGUGACAGAGUGAGACUCUGUCUCAA
This is an unclassified non-coding RNA of Pongo abelii (Sumatran orangutan), 148 nucleotides long. It matches the Rfam family "Metazoan signal recognition particle RNA". Rfam says of the family: The signal recognition particle (SRP) is a universally conserved ribonucleoprotein. It is involved in the co-translational targeting of proteins to membranes. The eukaryotic SRP consists of a 300-nucleotide 7S RNA and six proteins: SRPs 72, 68, 54, 19, 14, and 9. Lineage: Eukaryota; Metazoa; Chordata; Mammalia; Primates; Hominidae. The record is from Ensembl.